GACGAACGCUGGCGGCGUGCUUAACACAUGCCAGUCGAACGGAAAGGCCUCUUUCGGGGGGUACUCGAGUGGCGAACGGGUGAGUAACACGUGAGUAACCUGCCCUUGACUUUGGGAUAACUUCAGGAAACUGGGGCUAAUACCGGAUAGGAGCUCCUGCUGCAUGGUGGGGGUUGGAAAGUUUCGGCGGUUGGGGAUGGACUCGCGGCUUAUCAGCUUGUUGGUGGGGUAGUGGCUUACCAAGGCUUUGUCGGGUAGCCGGCCUGAGAGGGUGACCGGCCACAUUGGGACUGAGAUACGGCCCAGACUCCUACGGGAGGCAGCAGUGGGGAAUAUUGCACAAUGGGUGGAAGCCUGAUGCAGCAACGCCGUGUGCGGGAUGACGGCCUUCGGGUUGUAAACCGCUUUCGCUCAUGACGAAGCUUUGUGUGACGGUAGUGGGUAAAGAAGCACCGGCUAACUACGUG
Molecule: ribosomal RNA, 467 nt
Filed under: uncultured bacterium
Lineage: Bacteria
Description: partial 16S ribosomal RNA
Rfam family: Bacterial small subunit ribosomal RNA
Source: RNAcentral